This is a long non-coding RNA of Zalophus californianus (California sea lion), 836 nucleotides long. RefSeq lists it as uncharacterized. The transcript has 3 exons. The record is from RefSeq and is a predicted model, not a curated record. NCBI's taxonomy places the organism in Eukaryota, Metazoa, Chordata, Mammalia, Carnivora, Otariidae.
GGGGUCUUCUGCAGGCCUCAGCACUCCAGGCACUGAUUCGGUAGAGGCUAUGACCAGAAACAUCAUCCCCACAGUGACCGGGAGCAGUAGAGGGAAGAGGGCUCCCAUCAGAGUGUUUGAAGGCCUGCUUUAGCUGAGCCCAUGUCCAAAUUAGGCCAGCUCCAUUCUGGGGCUGCCUGAAUUCAUGAGGGGCCCUGCCUUCCAACCUGACGGAUGGAUCGGUUCUGCCAUCGCCGGGGACGGUGUGAACAGACUCUCUGUGGCUUGAGUUCGCGGCUGCAUCUCCCUACGUGGAACCUCAGAAACCAGCCCCUCCCAUUAUUGAUGGUCCCCAUGGGGCCCAGAGAUCUUGGUUUGAGUCCCGUCGCUGCUCUGGUUUGCUGUGUAACCGUGUGGGUCGCCUGGCCCCUCUGCGGUCCGGUCUUAUCAUCUCCCCUGUCUCAGCUCAGCCGGCUGGAACAGACACCACAGACCAGCGGCUUAAACAACAGGCAAUCUCCUCCUCAUGGUUCUGGAGGCAGAUAGGGUUCUUUGUGAGAGGCGCUUUGGGCUUUAUAGGCGGCCACCUCCUGGCUGUGUCUUCAUGUAGCCAAACGUGCUCCGUCUCUCUUCCUCUUCUUCUAAGGACACUGAUCCCAUUGCAGGGUUGGCGGGGGGGAACUCCCCCACCCUCAUGCCCUCAGCUGUACCUAAUCACAUCUCAGGCCCCACCCCAACUGUACCUAAUCACUUCUCAGGCCCCACCAUCCCCGGCACUGGGGAUGCUAGAGGGACACAUUCAGGCCCUGACAUCCCCUAACUGUCCAUCUAAAGGCUUCUCUGUAAACUGGGUUUGG